GAUGAACGCUGGCGGCGUGCCUAAUACAUGCAAGUCGAGCGAACGGACGAGAAGCUUGCUUUUCUGAUGUUAGCGGCGGACGGGUGAGUAACACGUGGAUAACCUACCUAUAAGACUGGGAUAACUUCGGGAAACCGGAGCUAAUACCGGAUAAUAUUUUGAACCGCAUGGUUCAAAAGUGAAAGACCGUCUUGCUGUCACUUAUAGAUGGAUCCGCGCUGCAUUAGCUAGUUGGUAAGGUAACGGCUUACCAAGGCAACGAUGCAUAGCCGACCUGAGAGGGUGAUCGGCCACACUGGAACUGAGACACGGUCCAGACUCCUACGGGAGGCAGCAGUAGGGAAUCUUCCGCAAUGGGCGAAAGCCUGACGGAGCAACGCCGCGUGAGUGAUGAAGGUCUUCGGAUCGUAAAACUCUGUUAUUAGGGAAGAACAUAUGUGUAAGUAACUGUGCACAUCUUGACGGUACCUAAUCAGAAAGCCACGGCUAACUACGUG
This 497-nucleotide ribosomal RNA is filed under the name uncultured bacterium. Its description in RNAcentral is "partial 16S ribosomal RNA". It matches the Rfam family "Bacterial small subunit ribosomal RNA", at positions 28 to 507 of the family's 1533-position model. The record is from RNAcentral.